AUUAUUUUAGAGCUUUACAUUGUAAGUAAAUAAUAAUUACGAAAGCAAAAAAUUAUGGCGGUAUUUUAAGCUUUUCAGAGGAAUUUGCUCUUUAAUGGAUAAAACACCUAAAUCUUACUUAAAUUUGUUAGGUCAAUUUGUAUACCACUAUUAAAUUAAUUAAUAAUUUUAAUUUAUAAAAUUUAUAUAAAUUUAAAAAAAAUUAAGUCAAGGUGCAGUAAAAAUUUAAGAAUGAAGUGAAUUACAAUUCUCUUAAGAGAUUAUUUAAAUUAAAAUUUUAAUUUAGGAUUUGAAAGUAAAAUUAAAAUAGAAUGUUAAUUUGAAUAAAGCUCUAAAAUAUGUACAUAUCGCCCGU
This 355-nucleotide ribosomal RNA is filed under the name Rhipicephalus annulatus. RNAcentral describes it as "partial 12S ribosomal RNA". Lineage: Eukaryota; Metazoa; Arthropoda; Arachnida; Ixodida; Ixodidae. The record is from RNAcentral.